AUUGAACGCUGGCGGCAGGCCUAACACAUGCAAGUCGAACGGUAACAGGAAGAAGCUUGCUUUUUUGCUGACGAGUGGCGGACGGGUGAGUAAUGUCUGGGAAACUGCCUGAUGGAGGGGGAUAACUACUGGAAACGGUAGCUAAUACCGCAUAACGUCGCAAGACCAAAGAGGGGGACCUUCGGGCCUCUUGCCUUCGGAUGAGCCCAGAUGGGAUUAGCUAGUAGGUGGGGUAACGGCUCACCUAGGCGACGAUCCCUAGCUGGUCUGAGAGGAUGACCAGCCACACUGGAACUGAGACACGGUCCAGACUCCUACGGGAGGCAGCAGUGGGGAAUAUUGCACAAUGGGCGCAAGCCUGAUGCAGCCAUGCCGCGUGUAUGAAGAAGGCCUUCGGGUUGUAAAGUACUUUCAGCGGGGAGGAAGGGAGUAAAGUUAAUACCUUUGCUCAUUGACGUUACCCGCAGAAGAAGCACCGGCUAACUCCGUG
RNAcentral lists this ribosomal RNA (490 nucleotides) under uncultured bacterium. RNAcentral's name for it is "partial 16S ribosomal RNA". It matches the Rfam family "Bacterial small subunit ribosomal RNA", at positions 30 to 507 of the family's 1533-position model. The record is from RNAcentral.